CACGUUGAAACAUCCACACAUCGA
RNAcentral lists this non-coding RNA (24 nucleotides) under Arabidopsis thaliana (thale cress). Lineage: Eukaryota; Viridiplantae; Streptophyta; Magnoliopsida; Brassicales; Brassicaceae. The record is from RNAcentral.